This 219-nucleotide unclassified non-coding RNA is filed under the name Hevea brasiliensis (rubber tree). Lineage: Eukaryota; Viridiplantae; Streptophyta; Magnoliopsida; Malpighiales; Euphorbiaceae. The record is from RNAcentral.
AAGGAUUUACAAUUUUUAAAUAUUGAUGUGGAAUUGGUCUCUAACAAAGUUAAAUGAUGAAGAAGAAUCCAUAUAGUCAACCCCAACUAGAAUUGGACUAAGGCUUAUUUGUUGUUGUGCUGUUGUUUCUUUUUCCUGUUAACAUGGAUGAUUUGUCAGUUCUCACCUGUGUGGGGGUCGUAGUAAGGCGUGAGCCGAAAUAUCAUCCACUAGAAUUAU